Molecule: ribosomal RNA, 695 nt
Filed under: Enterococcus sp.
Lineage: Bacteria; Bacillati; Bacillota; Bacilli; Lactobacillales; Enterococcaceae
Description: bacterial SSU rRNA
Rfam family: Bacterial small subunit ribosomal RNA
Source: RNAcentral
UGGCGAACGGGUGAGUAACACGUGGGUAACCUGCCCAUCAGAAGGGGAUAACACUUGGAAACAGGUGCUAAUACCGUAUAACAAUCGAAACCGCAUGGUUUCGUUUUGAAAGGCGCUUUACGGUGCCGCUGAUGGAUGGACCCGCGGUGCAUUAGCUAGUUGGUGAGGUAACGGCUCACCAAGGCCACGAUGCAUAGCCGACCUGAGAGGGUGAUCGGCCACAUUGGGACUGAGACACGGCCCAAACUCCUACGGGAGGCAGCAGUAGGGAAUCUUCGGCAAUGGACGAAAGUCUGACCGAGCAACGCCGCGUGAGUGAAGAAGGUUUUCGGAUCGUAAAACUCUGUUGUUAGAGAAGAACAAGGGUGAGAGUAACUGUUCACCCCUUGACGGUAUCUAACCAGAAAGCCACGGCUAACUACGUGCCAGCAGCCGCGGUAAUACGUAGGUGGCAAGCGUUGUCCGGAUUUAUUGGGCGUAAAGCGAGCGCAGGCGGUUUCUUAAGUCUGAUGUGAAAGCCCCCGGCUCAACCGGGGAGGGUCAUUGGAAACUGGGAGACUUGAGUGCAGAAGAGGAGAGUGGAAUUCCAUGUGUAGCGGUGAAAUGCGUAGAUAUAUGGAGGAACACCAGUGGCGAAGGCGGCUCUCUGGUCUGUAACUGACGCUGAGGCUCGAAAGCGUGGGGAGCAAACAGGA